RNAcentral lists this ribosomal RNA (496 nucleotides) under uncultured bacterium. RNAcentral's name for it is "partial 16S ribosomal RNA". It matches the Rfam family "Bacterial small subunit ribosomal RNA", at positions 28 to 506 of the family's 1533-position model. The record is from RNAcentral.
GAUGAACGCUGGCGGCGUGCCUAAUACAUGCAAGUCGAGCGAACAGACGAGGAGCUUGCUCCUCUGACGUUAGCGGCGGACGGGUGAGUAACACGUGGAUAACCUACCUAUAAGACUGGGAUAACUUCGGGAAACCGGAGCUAAUACCGGAUAAUAUAUUGAACCGCAUGGUUCAAUAGUGAAAGACGGUUUUGCUGUCACUUAUAGAUGGAUCCGCGCCGCAUUAGCUAGUUGGUAAGGUAACGGCUUACCAAGGCAACGAUGCGUAGCCGACCUGAGAGGGUGAUCGGCCACACUGGAACUGAGACACGGUCCAGACUCCUACGGGAGGCAGCAGUAGGGAAUCUUCCGCAAUGGGCGAAAGCCUGACGGAGCAACGCCGCGUGAGUGAUGAAGGUCUGCGGAUCGUAAAACUCUGUUAUUAGGGAAGAACAAAUGUGUAAGUAACGAUGCACGUCUGGACGGUACCUAAUCAGAAAGCCACGGCUAACUACGU